CGCUGCCGCUGCCGCUGCCGCUGCCGUUGCCGCCGCCGCUGCAGUCAUUGCCAUCGUACGCCAAUUAAUUAAUUGCUACGCAGCUCUCUGAUUCGUCCUCCUUAAUCGUCGUCGUUGUUGUAUUAAUAUUCUUCUUCUUCUUCUUAUUCUUCUUCUUCUUCUUCCUCUUCCUCUUCUAAUCUUGUGAUCUCCUACUUCUACUUCUUACUUCUUCUGAUCUUAUGUAUUACUUUUAUUUAUGUAUUAUUAUUAUUAUUAUUAUUAUUAUUAUUAUUAUUAUUAUUAUUAUUAUUAUUUGUUUAAGAUCGAGAUGUUGAUUUCUAUAAUAUCGAAUAUAUUGUACGUUCUCGACGCACCGCUUUUUCGAAAACGAAAUGUGUGAGAGACACUUGUACUAAGAGAGGGAAGAUUAGAAAGAUAGAUAGAGAGAGAAGAAUUUAGAGAAAGAGAGAGAAAGAGAGAGAGAGAGAGAGAGAGAGAGAGAGAGAGAGAGACAGAUAGAGGGAGAGAGAGUGAGAGAGAGAGAGAGAGAGAGAAAUGUUGCUUUCGACGUUAAAGCCAUGAUAAUUUUGAUGAAAAAAAUGAAUAAAUAAAAUAAAAUAAAAUAAA
Long non-coding RNA from Vespula pensylvanica (western yellowjacket), 609 nucleotides. RefSeq lists it as uncharacterized. NCBI's taxonomy places the organism in Eukaryota, Metazoa, Arthropoda, Insecta, Hymenoptera, Vespidae. The transcript has 2 exons. The record is from RefSeq and is a predicted model, not a curated record.